This 1431-nucleotide ribosomal RNA is filed under the name uncultured prokaryote. Its description in RNAcentral is "partial 16S ribosomal RNA". It matches the Rfam family "Bacterial small subunit ribosomal RNA". The record is from RNAcentral.
GGAUGAACGUUAGCGGUGUGCCUAAUGCAUGCAAGUCGAACGAGAAGCUUUGGAUUCGUCUGAAGUGGACAGUGGCGGACGGGUGAGUAACACGUAGGGGACGUACCUCGGAGAGGGGGACAACCACUGGAAACGGUGGCUAAUACCCCGGAUGAUUUAGUGUUUGGAAAGCUUUAUCUAAAGCUCCGGCGCUCCAAGAGGGGCCUGCGGCCCAUCAGCUAGUUGGUAAGGUAAUGGCUUACCAAGGCAAAGACGGGUAGGGGGCGUGAGAGCGUGACCCCCCACACUGGUACUGAGACACGGACCAGAUACCUGCGGGUAGCAGCAGCAAGGAAUAUUGCGCAAUGGGCGAAAGCCUGACGCAGCAACACCGCGUGGAGGAUGAAGGCUUUCGGGUCGUAAACUCCUUUUCUGGGGGAAGAGAAAGGACGGUACCCCAGGAAUAAGUCUCGGCUAACUACGUGCCAGCAGCCGCGGUAAAACGUGGGAGGCAAGCGUUAUCCGGAAUUACUGGGCGUAAAGCGCAUGUAGGCGGUUGUUUAAGUCAGACGUGAAAGCUCCUGGCUCAACUAGGAGAGGUCGUUUGAAAACUAGGAAACUUGAUGAUGGUAAGAGGAGAGUGGAAUUCCCGGUGUAGUGGUGAAAUGCGUAGAUAUCGGGAGGAACACCAGUGGCGAAAGCGGCUCUCUGGGCCAUAACGGACGCUCAGAUGCGAAAGCUAGGGGAGAGAACGGGAUUAGAAACCCCGGUAUUCCUAGCCGUAAACGAUGUCAACUAGGUGUAGGGGGUAUCUUACCCCUUCUGUACUGUAGCUAACGCGUUAAGUUGACCGCCUGGGGACUACGGCCGCAAGGCUAAAACUCAAAGGAAUUGACGGGGACCCGCACAAGCAGCGGAGCGUGUGGUUUAAUUCGAGGCUACGCGAAGAACCUUACCAGGGCUUGACAUAUACGUGGUAGUGAUCUGAAAAGUGAACGACCCUUCGGGGAGCGUAUACAGGUGCUGCAUGGCUGUCGUCAGCUCGUGCCGUGAGGUGUUAGGUUAAGUCCUGUAACGAGCGCAACCCUCGUCGUUAGUUAUAAGUGUCUAACGAGACUGCCGGUGACAAACCGGAGGAAGGUGGGGAUGACGUCAAGUCAGCAUGGCCUUUAUAUCCUGGGCUACACACACGCUACAAUGGCCGGUACAAUGGGUAGCCAAACCGCGAGGUGGAGCCAAUCCCCCAAAGCCGGUCUCAGUUCGGAUUGUAGGCUGCAACUCGCCUACAUGAAGUCGGAGUUGCUAGUAACCGCGCGUCAGCAACAGUGCGGUGAAUACGUUCCCGGGCCUUGUACACACCGCCCGUCACGUCAUGGAAGUUGGCAACGCCUAAAGUCAGUGGGCUAACCCUAACGGGAGGCAACUGCCCAAGGCGGGGUCGGUAACUGGGAC